UAAUACGGAGGGUGCAAGCGUUAUCCGGAUUUAUUGGGUUUAAAGGGUGCGCAGGCGGGCCGAUAAGUCAGUGGUGAAAUCCCGGGGCUCAACCCCGGAACUGCCAUUGAUACUGCCGGUCUUGAAUACGGUUGACGUAGGUGGAAUGUAGCAUGUAGCGGUGAAAUGCAUAGAGAUGCUACAGAACACCGAUCGCGAAGGCGGCUUACUAAACCGAUAUUGACGCUCAGGCACGAAAGCGUGGGGAGCAAACAGGAUUAGAUACCCUGGUAGUCCACGCCGUAAACUAUGAUCACUCGUUGUUGGCAAUACACAGUCAGUGACCAAGCGAAAGCGAUAAGUGAUCCACCUGGGGAGUACGAUCGCAAGGUUG
This 373-nucleotide ribosomal RNA is filed under the name uncultured Bacteroidota bacterium. RNAcentral's name for it is "bacterial SSU rRNA". It matches the Rfam family "Bacterial small subunit ribosomal RNA", at positions 521 to 896 of the family's 1533-position model. The record is from RNAcentral. Lineage: Bacteria; Pseudomonadati; Bacteroidota.